This 217-nucleotide long non-coding RNA is filed under the name Gossypium barbadense (sea-island cotton). Its description in RNAcentral is "long non-coding RNA (GBAR_LNC005401)". The record is from RNAcentral. Lineage: Eukaryota; Viridiplantae; Streptophyta; Magnoliopsida; Malvales; Malvaceae.
CGAACCGUCUCUUCUUUGGGAGGUAAUGUAGAUGGAACUUAUUAAUCAAUUCUUCAGAAACCGGAAAAGAAGAAGCAAUACAAGGAGAACUUGUAGUUCGGUUAGUUGAAACACUCCUCGCAUUUUCUUGCUCUCGUUCUUUAUUUUCACUCACUUCUUUUUCGAACUCACUUUCUUUUUAAAAAAAAACUCAUUUCUUAAUCAUUUUUCUUUCUUU